ACAGCGGAUUAUCUCCAGUGAUCUCUGACACCAUUAGAGCACAGAUCGAUUUCUCACAGGACGCAAUGAAAUGGCACUUGAAGCAAAAGAACAUUAGACCGUGUCAAAGCCCCCAUGAGAGAGAAAGAGGGUGGUAGAGGGGGAACGAGAGCACUAAUAUCAGACCAUAUCCCAUCUUAAAACUACCUUCCAAAUCCACGUCUCAACAAAGGCUUACAAAAUGAGUGGGGGUCAGAAUACAAGACCAAAGAUUUGCUCCGUAGGCAAAUCAGCGAACACAAUGGCACUUCCAAAACUUAAAGCUGGUCAAGAUAUAGUAAAAAAGCCAGUCAUCGGCUCUGUUACUGGGACCACCAAAGCAGUAUCCAGAGGCCACAACCUCCUGCUAAGCCCAGAUCAGAGAGAACUUUAUCAGAGGACAGUACUGGUCGAGCUCGGACAGCUCUAAUGGCAGUGUGGACAAUGGGAGGUCAGGAUCUGAGAAUUCAGAAGAUGGUGGACAUAGGAGAAUAGUAACAUCAGCCAGCAGCUCUGGCACCAGCACCAUCCAAACUGUAAAAUCAACCUCAGAGCUGCUGGAGGAAGCCAGACCUAUUGCAAGCCUGGAACAGCCUGGUGAUGCUGACCAGCAGUGGGCACCAGAUGAGACAUCGGCAGACACAUAAGUGAUGGAAAGUGUGCACGUAGAAGAUGAGAUCAUUGAGCAAAGGGAAGUGAGUGGUGGAAUUCUCUCUGCCAGUGACCAAACAAAUGAACAGUUCACAGAAAGAAGAUGAUCAUUGAUGAUGAGGAUAUCAAAACAUGAUUCAUUUUUAAAUUCAUAAAAAAACAGUAUAACAUCAUAUUUCAUACUUUCAUGUACAGUGGCACCCAAAAAAUACUUAUACCCCA
Long non-coding RNA from Xyrauchen texanus (razorback sucker), 891 nucleotides. RefSeq lists it as uncharacterized. The record is from RefSeq and is a predicted model, not a curated record. Lineage: Eukaryota; Metazoa; Chordata; Actinopteri; Cypriniformes; Catostomidae. The transcript has 3 exons.